UACGUAGGGGCAAGCGUUGUCCGGAUUAUUGGCGUAAAGAGCGUGUAGGCGGCUCGAUAAGUCUGCUGUGAAAGUCCAGGGCUCAACCCUGGAAGGCCGGUGGAAACUGUCGGGCUAGAGUCCGGAAGAGGCGAGUGGAAUUCCCGGUGUAGCGGUGAAAUGGCGCAGAUAUCAGGAGAACACCAAUUGCGAAGCAGCUCGCUGGGACGUAACUGACGCUGAGACGCGAAAGCGUGGGGAGCAAACAGG
Molecule: ribosomal RNA, 249 nt
Filed under: uncultured bacterium
Lineage: Bacteria
Description: partial 16S ribosomal RNA
Rfam family: Bacterial small subunit ribosomal RNA
Source: RNAcentral